GAUUGAACGCUGGCGGUAUGCUUAACACAUGCAAGUCGAACGGAAACGAUACUAGCUUGCUAGUAGGCGUCGAGUGGCGGACGGGUGAGUAACGCGUAGGAAUCUGCCUGAUAGUGGGGGAUAGCCCGAAGAAAUUCGGAUUAAUACCGCAUAAUCUAUUCGUAGUAAAGUGGGGGACUUUCGAGCCUCACGCUAUCAGAUGAGCCUGCGUAAGAUUAGCUUGUUGGUAGGGUAAAAGCCUACCAAGGCGACGAUCUUUAGCUGGUCUGAGAGGAUGAUCAGCCACAUCGGGACUGAGACACGGCCCGAACUCCUACGGGAGGCAGCAGUGGGGAAUAUUGGACAAUGGGGGCAACCCUGAUCCAGCAAUACCGCGUGUGUGAAGAAGGCCUGAGGGUUGUAAAGCACUUUCAAUUGUGAAGAAAAGUUAGCGGUUAAUAACCGUUAGCCUUGACGUUAACUUUAGAAGAAGCACCGGCUAACUCCGUGCCAGCAGCCGCGGUAAUACGGAGGGUGCAAGCGUUAAUCGGAAUUACUGGGCGUAAAGCGUGCGUAGGCGGUUUAUUAAGUCAGAUGUGAAAGCCCCGGGCUUAACCUGGGAACUGCAUUUGAAACUGGUCAACUAGAGUAUGGUAGAGGAAAGUGGAAUUUCUGGUGUAGCGGUGAAAUGCGUAGAUAUCAGAAGGGAACAUCAAUGGCGAAGGCAGCUUUCUGGACCAAUACUGACGCUGAGGUACGAAAGCGUGGGUAGCAAACAGGAUUAGAUACCCUGGUAGUCCACGCCGUAAACGAUGAUAACUAGCCGUUGGGGGGAUUUACCCUUUAGUGGCGAAGCUAACGCGUUAAGUUAUCCGCCUGGGGAGUACGGCCGCAAGGUUAAAACUCAAAGGAAUUGACGGGGACCCGCACAAGCGGUGGAGCAUGUGGUUUAAUUCGAUGCAACGCGAAGAACCUUACCUGGUCUUGACAUCCUGCGAACUUUCUAGAAAUAGAUUGGUGCCUUCGGGAACGCAGUGACAGGUGCUGCAUGGCUGUCGUCAGCUCGUGUCGUGAGAUGUUGGGUUAAGUCCCGUAACGAGCGCAACCCCUAUCCUUAUUUGCCAGCACAUCAUGGUGGGAACUAUAAGGAGACUGCCGGUGAUAAACCGGAGGAAGGCGGGGACGACGUCAAGUCAUCAUGGCCCUUACGACCAGGGCUACACACGUGCUACAAUGGGAAGGACAAAGAGCCGCGAAGCCGCGAGGUGUAGCUAAUCUCAUAAACCUUUUCGUAGUCCGGAUUGGAGUCUGCAACUCGACUCCAUGAAGUCGGAAUCGCUAGUAAUCGUAGAUCAGAAUGCUACGGUGAAUACGUUCCCGGGUCUUGUACACACCGCC
RNAcentral lists this ribosomal RNA (1377 nucleotides) under uncultured bacterium. RNAcentral's name for it is "bacterial SSU rRNA". It matches the Rfam family "Bacterial small subunit ribosomal RNA", at positions 27 to 1394 of the family's 1533-position model. The record is from RNAcentral.